GYUGCCCGCGACAUUGCGAGAAGUCCAYUGAACCUAUCAUUUAGAGGAAGGAGAAGUCGUUAACAAGGUUUCCGUAGGUGAACCUGCGGAAGGAUCAUUGUCGAAACCUSCAAAGYAGAAUGACCCGSGAACACGUUAUUACCCUAACUCGGCAAUGUGCGGGGCCUUGUCCCAAAACAUUAUCGAACACAACUAAUCAUCGAGCGCGGUAUGCGCCAAGGAAAAUAUAAAGAACACAMCCGCCUUGUUGUGGCCCCGGAAACGGUGGGUCUCCUCGGGGAUGCGUUUGUUCCAUAAGUCAAAACGACUCUCGGCAACGGAUAUCUCGGCUCUCGCAUCGAUGAAGAACGUAGCGAAAUGCGAUACAUGGUGUGAAUUGCAGAAUUCCGUGAAUCAUCGAGUUUUUGAACGCAAGUUGCGCCCAAAGCCAUUUGGCCGAGGGCACGCCUGCCUAGGUGUCACGCAUCGUUGCCCCCUCCUCMAGCCUAUCKCUCGCGAUGARAUUGUUGGGAGGGCGUACAAUGGCUUCCCGUUUGCUUGUCUUCCGGUUGGCCUAAAAUUAACUUCAUUAGCUUCRAUUGCCGUGGCACAUGGUGGUAUUCGAACAAAUCGUAACCUGCCACGUGCAGUYUGUUARACUAAGGGACCGUAUAAACCCAAAUGCGUAGGCUUUUUAAUCCGUGCUUCCAACGCGACCCUAGGUCAGGCGGGGAUUACCCGCUGAAUUUNAGCAUAUCAAUAAGCGGGAGAAAAAAAACUUU
Molecule: ribosomal RNA, 761 nt
Filed under: Pilea pansamalana
Lineage: Eukaryota; Viridiplantae; Streptophyta; Magnoliopsida; Rosales; Urticaceae
Description: eukaryotic LSU rRNA
Rfam family: 5.8S ribosomal RNA (bases 306-461)
Source: RNAcentral